GACGAACGCUGGCGGCGCGCCUAACACAUGCAAGUCGAACGAGAGAUGAGGAGCUUGCUCUUCAAAUCGAGUGGCGAACGGGUGAGUAACGCGUGAGGAACCUGCCUCAAAGAGGGGGACAACAGUUGGAAACGACUGCUAAUACCGCAUAAGCCCACGGCUCGGCAUCGAGCAGAGGGAAAAGGAGCAAUCCGCUUUGAGAUGGCCUCGCGUCCGAUUAGCUAGUUGGUGAGGUAACGGCCCACCAAGGCGACGAUCGGUCGCCGGACUGAGAGGUUGAACGGCCACAUUGGGACUGAGACACGGCCCAGACUCCUACGGGAGGCAGCAGUGGGGAAUAUUGCACAAUGGGGGAAACCCUGAUGCAGCGACGCCGCGUGGAGGAAGAAGGUCUUCGGAUUGUAAACUCCUGUUGU
RNAcentral lists this ribosomal RNA (416 nucleotides) under uncultured bacterium. RNAcentral describes it as "bacterial SSU rRNA". It matches the Rfam family "Bacterial small subunit ribosomal RNA", at positions 28 to 439 of the family's 1533-position model. The record is from RNAcentral.